GUGAGAGUCGGGGUACACCCUGGACUGGUUGACAAUGUCACAGAGCACAAUCAGUGACGUACGCCGAGCUUCAUGGCAGGGCAAAGGAGAGCAUUUCUCAGGCCCAGAUGAUGUUUACCAAGGGUUCAGCUCCACGACAUCGUAUCCCAAAAGGCAUUUUCAUGCUGUAUGACAAAGAAGUGGAAAAUGUCAGAGCGGAACUGGUUUCCGCAGUCUGGAAGUCGCCGCCUGCCGUUGCCGCACAUGGAGCAGGAAUUCCGGGAGGUCUGUCACCUGCACAAACGAGUGAACUGAAUACAACAGUAUGAGGAAGAGAAUUCUGUUCAUUUGUUUGGUGCUGAAUGAAUGAUGCCAGGUGCCUCCUGCACUGGACAGACCCCACAAGCUGUUCGGGUCCAGUUCCAUCCUGUUUACUCCAUCA
This is a long non-coding RNA of Phyllopteryx taeniolatus (common seadragon), 421 nucleotides long. RefSeq lists it as uncharacterized. The record is from RefSeq and is a predicted model, not a curated record. The transcript is spliced from 3 exons. Lineage: Eukaryota; Metazoa; Chordata; Actinopteri; Syngnathiformes; Syngnathidae.